This 1468-nucleotide ribosomal RNA is filed under the name Escherichia coli. Its description in RNAcentral is "partial 23S ribosomal RNA". It matches the Rfam family "Bacterial large subunit ribosomal RNA", at positions 418 to 1869 of the family's 2925-position model. RNAcentral also lists the same sequence under 1 other name. The record is from RNAcentral. Lineage: Bacteria; Pseudomonadati; Pseudomonadota; Gammaproteobacteria; Enterobacterales; Enterobacteriaceae.
CGGGACACGUGGUAUCCUGUCUGAAUAUGGGGGGACCAUCCUCCAAGGCUAAAUACUCCUGACUGACCGAUAGUGAACCAGUACCGUGAGGGAAAGGCGAAAAGAACCCCGGCGAGGGGAGUGAAAAAGAACCUGAAACCGUGUACGUACAAGCAGUGGGAGCACAGAGCAAUCUGUGUGACUGCGUACCUUUUGUAUAAUGGGUCAGCGACUUAUAUUCUGUAGCAAGGUUAACCGAAUAGGGGAGCCGAAGGGAAACCGAGUCUUAACUGGGCGUUAAGUUGCAGGGUAUAGACCCGAAACCCGGUGAUCUAGCCAUGGGCAGGUUGAAGGUUGGGUAACACUAACUGGAGGACCGAACCGACUAAUGUUGAAAAAUUAGCGGAUGACUUGUGGCUGGGGGUGAAAGGCCAAUCAAACCGGGAGAUAGCUGGUUCUCCCCGAAAGCUAUUUAGGUAGCGCCUCGUGAAUUCAUCUCCGGGGGUAGAGCACUGUUUCGGCAAGGGGGUCAUCCCGACUUACCAACCCGAUGCAAACUGCGAAUACCGGAGAAUGUUAUCACGGGAGACACACGGCGGGUGCUAACGUCCGUCGUGAAGAGGGAAACAACCCAGACCGCCAGCUAAGGUCCCAAAGUCAUGGUUAAGUGGGAAACGAUGUGGGAAGGCCCAGACAGCCAGGAUGUUGGCUUAGAAGCAGCCAUCAUUUAAAGAAAGCGUAAUAGCUCACUGGUCGAGUCGGCCUGCGCGGAAGAUGUAACGGGGCUAAACCAUGCACCGAAGCUGCGGCAGCGACGCUUAUGCGUUGUUGGGUAGGGGAGCGUUCUGUAAGCCUGCGAAGGUGUGCUGUGAGGCAUGCUGGAGGUAUCAGAAGUGCGAAUGCUGACAUAAGUAACGAUAAAGCGGGUGAAAAGCCCGCUCGCCGGAAGACCAAGGGUUCCUGUCCAACGUUAAUCGGGGCAGGGUGAGUCGACCCCUAAGGCGAGGCCGAAAGGCGUAGUCGAUGGGAAACAGGUUAAUAUUCCUGUACUUGGUGUUACUGCGAAGGGGGGACGGAGAAGGCUAUGUUGGCCGGGCGACGGUUGUCCCGGUUUAAGCGUGUAGGCUGGUUUUCCAGGCAAAUCCGGAAAAUCAAGGCUGAGGCGUGAUGACGAGGCACUACGGUGCUGAAGCAACAAAUGCCCUGCUUCCAGGAAAAGCCUCUAAGCAUCAGGUAACAUCAAAUCGUACCCCAAACCGACACAGGUGGUCAGGUAGAGAAUACCAAGGCGCUUGAGAGAACUCGGGUGAAGGAACUAGGCAAAAUGGUGCCGUAACUUCGGGAGAAGGCACGCUGAUAUGUAGGUGAAGUCCCUCGCGGAUGGAGCUGAAAUCAGUCGAAGAUACCAGCUGGCUGCAACUGUUUAUUAAAAACACAGCACUGUGCAAACACGAAAGUGGACGUAUACGGUGUGACGCCUGCCCGGUGC